GAAACGGCUAGGAACGGAAGGAGUACCCCAUGACGGCGGCAUAGAGAGCUUGUGGUCGGUGCAAACAGGCGCGCCCAGUGCGGGAAGGUAGUCCGGGAGCCGGUGCGGUGAAAGGCAGUAGUCGCACCCGUGUGCCGCGUUAAGGCAAGAGCGGCGCGCUUUGGCGCGCAAUUUGAGUGGUACCGCGGAAGUUCAGUUCCGUCUCAUUA
RNAcentral lists this non-coding RNA (209 nucleotides) under Clostridium sp. Its description in RNAcentral is "T-box sequence". It matches the Rfam family "T-box leader". Rfam says of the family: Uncharged tRNA acts as the effector for transcription antitermination of genes in the T-box leader family. T-boxes are found upstream of many aminoacyl-tRNA synthetase genes and some amino acid biosynthetic genes usually in Gram-positive bacteria. The record is from RNAcentral. Lineage: Bacteria; Bacillati; Bacillota; Clostridia; Eubacteriales; Clostridiaceae.